ACGCUAAAAGCUCGGAAGGUGCGGGGUAUCGAACAGGAUUAGAUACCCUGGUAGUCCCGCACGGUAAACGAUGGGAUGCCCGCUGUUUGCGAUAUACUGUGAGCGGCCAAGAGAAAUCGUUAAAGCAUCCCACCUGGGGGAGUACGCCGGCAACGGUGAAAACUCAAAGGAAUUAACGGGGGCCCGCACAAGCGGAGGAACAUGUGGUUUAAUUCGAUGAUACGCGAGGAACCUUACCCGGGCUUGAACUGCAGCGGAAGGAUACAGAGAUGUUGACGCCCUUCGGGGUCGCUGUGGAGGUGCUGCAUGGUUGUCGUCAGCUCGUGCCGUGAGGUGUCGGCUUAAGUGCCAUAACGAGCGCAACCCUUUUCAUUAGUUGCCAUCAGGUAAUGCUGGGCACUCUGGUGAUACUGCCACCGUAAGGUGUGAGGAAGGUGGGGAUGACGUCAAAUCAGCACGGCCCUUACGUCCGGGGCUACACACGUGUUACAAUGGGAGGUACAGAGAGUCGGAUGUACGCAAGUACAUUCUAAUCCUAAAAGCCUUCCUCAGUUCGGAUUGGGGUCUGCAACCCGACCCCAUGAAGCUGGAUUCGCUAGUA
Molecule: ribosomal RNA, 601 nt
Filed under: uncultured bacterium
Lineage: Bacteria
Description: bacterial SSU rRNA
Rfam family: Bacterial small subunit ribosomal RNA
Source: RNAcentral